AACAGUAAUAUCAACAGCCGCAAAGAUGACACCGCAUAUCACAUCCCUCUCUGAUUCCGACACAUUCAUGGGUAAUUUUUAUCCACAUCUCCCUUUGAUUUUUUUGAUUUUUUUUAUAUGCUUAGAUUUGGGGGAAAAAAAUGGAUGAAAAUUAUCUAAUGCAUGUGUGCUUCUGCGGCAGGAGCUGCAGAAUGCUGAUUCGACAUAGAAAAGAACGGUAGAUGUCUGGAGUUUAUCUGAAAAGGAAAGGUAUAGAACAUAGAUGCUUAACUCUUAUUUGCGCAUCAUGCAUGAUAAUGUUCUCCACAUGCUCAUAAAUCUCUAUCUAUGUGCGUGCCUGUACCCACUGAUGUAUAUUUGAGCCCAAAAGUGUGGAUAACAGAAACUGUAUCCUGCCUUGAUGAAUCGUGUUCUCUGUGCUACUUAGAUCCCUCAACUCUGUUUUUGCACUCCGCAUUGCCUAAUCUCAUGAAUGUAGAGGAAUUGAUGAUGAAUGUGCUGGGGGAAUAAAUGUUGAUUGCAUCCCCUUAGUUGGGAUUAGGCCGAAUCAGUUCCGAAUGCAACCUGCAAUAAAAAAACUAAUUAGAUAAGUAAAGAAAAAUAACAAGAAUUAAAAAUUGCAAUUUUUUUUUCUUUCUGAUUUUUGUAAUUAGGAAUAAAAACAGGAAAAUAAAUUAAACGAAAUAAAAAGAAAAGAGUUAGAAAAAUUGGGUUGCCUUCCAAUUAGCACUUUAGUUAAUGUCUAUAGCUAGACGUAGAGGAAUGAAUUGAUGAUCACGUCACUUGUUCCCUUCGAGUUAACCACUCUUUAAUAACGUCAUAGAGCACUGUGCUUCCAAAUUUAAUGGUUGAAUUCUUCUUAUACGCCUUUCUUUUUGAAUGAAUCUUUGUAAAGAUAUAGGUUCCUUUCCAGCUAUGUUUAUUUCUCCAUCGAGCUGACUUAAAUCGUGUAUUUAACACCCAUAGUUUCCGCAUUGGCUGAAAUUUUCUACGAGGAACUUGGCUGUCAAUAAGCUUCCUCUUUUCCAUAUAGAUCUUUGCAUGUUUGCAGGACUCGUCUGGCAUUUCUUUGAAUUUGAUGGGCUUUGCAGGUGCACUGUCCGUUACCACCGCUAAAAUUUUCUGAUCAGUAAGCAGCUGUCCUGUAAUUAGAUUUGUCAGAGUAUUUAUGCAUUCUUGCUGCUUAGCGGGUUGCCUUGGAGUCUCGAGAGAGUGCAUGAAUG
Molecule: long non-coding RNA, 1223 nt
Filed under: Malus domestica (apple)
Lineage: Eukaryota; Viridiplantae; Streptophyta; Magnoliopsida; Rosales; Rosaceae
Description: long non-coding RNA (MDOM_LNC008525)
Source: RNAcentral